AGCAGCCGCGGUAAUUCCAGCUUCAAUAGCGUAUAUUAAAGUUGCUGCAGUUAAAAAGCUCGUAGUUGAAUUUCGGGACUAAUAUGUCGGUCGUGCCUCGGUACGUACUGGUAUUUUUGGUUUCUCCCUUCUGACGAACCUUGAUGUCAUUAAUUUGGUGUCUUGGGAAAUCAGGACUGUUACUUUGAAAAAUUAGAGUGUUUAAAGCAGGCUCACGCUUGAAUACAUUAGCAUGGAAUAAUGAAAUAGGACGUUUGAUUCUAUUUUGUUGGUUUCUAGGAUUGACGUAAUGAUUAGUAGGGAUAGUUGGGGGCAUUAGUAUUCAAUUGUCAGAGGUGAAAUUCUUGGAUUUAUUGAAGACUAACUACUGCGAAAGCAUUUGCCAAGGAUGUUUUCAUUAAUCAAGAACGAAAGUUAGGGGAUCGAAGACGAUCAGAUACCGUCGUAGUCUUAACCAUAAACUAUGCCGACUAGGGAUCGGAUGAUGUUAAUUUUUAAUGACUCA
Molecule: ribosomal RNA, 505 nt
Filed under: uncultured Glomeraceae
Lineage: Eukaryota; Fungi; Glomeromycota; Glomeromycetes; Glomerales; Glomeraceae
Description: SSU rRNA
Rfam family: Eukaryotic small subunit ribosomal RNA
Source: RNAcentral